GCGGAGUUAAGCCUCAUGUCAGAGUUCGGGAAGGAGGUCCAAGUCAACUCUCCGACACUCAGAGUUGUCUGGCUCACAGUAUUGCUCGACUCUAAUAGAUGGUAGCCCGAUCGCCAGUGAGAUCAUUGCCUCCGCCCCAAAGGUCAAGUUGAAAGGAGUUUCCCCGGUUGGAACACGGGGUGUCGUUCGGUACGCCCAC
RNAcentral lists this long non-coding RNA (199 nucleotides) under Elaeis guineensis (African oil palm). Its description in RNAcentral is "long non-coding RNA (EGUI_LNC021081)". Lineage: Eukaryota; Viridiplantae; Streptophyta; Magnoliopsida; Arecales; Arecaceae. The record is from RNAcentral.